GGACUGAAGGUGCCCAGUAGUAGAGAAGCCUGAGUAUCAAGUCACCGCAAAAGUCUACAGUAAAAGCUGAUAGGACCACUCAAGCAUUCUGGAAAAUCAUGACUGGCAGCGAGAGUCCAUGUACACUUGGAGUCUCCACUCUCUUGAGAGAAAUGCUUUACCAUGUCCAUGAGAA
Lemur catta (Ring-tailed lemur) is the source of this 175-nucleotide long non-coding RNA. RefSeq lists it as uncharacterized. Lineage: Eukaryota; Metazoa; Chordata; Mammalia; Primates; Lemuridae. The transcript has 3 exons. The record is from RefSeq and is a predicted model, not a curated record.